GCAAGUCGAACGGAGAACAUGAGCUUGCUUAAUGUUCUUAGUGGCGGACGGGUGAGUAACACGUGAGUAACCUGCCUCUGAGAGUGGGAUAGCUUCUGGAAACGGAUGGUAAUACCGCAUAACAUCAUGGAUUCGCAUGUUUCUAUGAUCAAAGAUUUAUCGCUUAGAGAUGGACUCGCGUCUGAUUAGCUAGUUGGUAAGGUAACGGCUUACCAAGGCGACGAUCAGUAGCCGGACUGAGAGGUUGAUCGGCCACAUUGGGACUGAGACACGGCCCAGACUCCUACGGGAGGCAGCAGUGGGGAAUAUUGCACAAUGGGGGAAACCCUGAUGCAGCGAUGCCGCGUGGAGGAAGAAGGUUUUCGGAUUGUAAACUCCUGUUGAAGAGGACGAUAAUGACGGUACUCUUUUAGAAAGCUCCGGCUAACUACGUGCCAGCAGCCGCGGUAAUACGUAGGGAGCGAGCGUUGUCCGGAAUUACUGGGUGUAAAGGGAGCGUAGGCGGGAUGGCAAGUCAGAUGUGAAAACUAUGGGCUCAACCCAUAGACUGCAUUUGAAACUGUUGUUCUUGAGUGAGGUAGAGGUAAGCGGAAUUCCUGGUGUAGCGGUGAAAUGCGUAGAGAUCAGGAGGAACAUCGGUGGCGAAGGCGGCUUACUGGGCC
Molecule: ribosomal RNA, 662 nt
Filed under: uncultured Lachnospiraceae bacterium
Lineage: Bacteria; Bacillati; Bacillota; Clostridia; Lachnospirales; Lachnospiraceae
Description: bacterial SSU rRNA
Rfam family: Bacterial small subunit ribosomal RNA
Source: RNAcentral